UCCGUAGGCGGUUUAGUAAGUCAGUGGUGAAAGCCCAUCGCUCAACGGUGGAACGGCCAUUGAUACUGCUAGACUUGAAUUAUUAGGAAGUAACUAGAAUAUGUAGUGUAGCGGUGAAAUGCUUAGAGAUUACAUGGAAUACCAAUUGCGAAGGCAGGUUACUACUAAUGGAUUGACGCUGAUGGACGAAAGCGUGGGUAGCGAACAGGAUUAGAUACCCCUGUA
Molecule: ribosomal RNA, 225 nt
Filed under: uncultured Flavobacterium sp.
Lineage: Bacteria; Pseudomonadati; Bacteroidota; Flavobacteriia; Flavobacteriales; Flavobacteriaceae
Description: partial 16S ribosomal RNA
Rfam family: Bacterial small subunit ribosomal RNA
Source: RNAcentral